Molecule: ribosomal RNA, 450 nt
Filed under: uncultured bacterium
Lineage: Bacteria
Description: partial 16S ribosomal RNA
Rfam family: Bacterial small subunit ribosomal RNA
Source: RNAcentral
GUGGGGAAUCUUCCGCAAUGGACGAAAGUCUGACGGAGCGACGCCGCGUGAGUGAAGAAGGCCUUCGGGUCGUAAAGCUCUGUCAUCAGGGACGAACGGCCGGUGGAGUGGAAAGCCACCGGAUUGACGGUACCUGAGAAGGAAGCCACGGCUAACUACGUGCCAGCAGCCGCGGUAAUACGUAGGUGGCAAGCGUUGUCCGGAAUUAUUGGGCGUAAAGCGCGCGCAGGUGGGAUCUUAAGUCCAUUUUGAAAGUUCGGAGCUCAACUCCGUGAUGGGAUGGAAACUGGGAUUCUUGAGUACCGGAGAGGAAAGCGGAAUUCCCCGUGUAGCGGUGAAAUGCGUAGAUAUGGGGAGGAACACCAGUGGCGAAGGCGGCUUUCUGGACGGUGUCUGACACUGAGGCGCGAAAGCCAGGGGAGCGAACGGGAUUAGAUACCCUUGUAGUCC